UGNNGGNGUGACUAAAACAUGCAAGUCGAACGGCACCUUUCGGGGUGUAGUGGCGGACGGCUGAGUAACACGUGGGUGACCUGCCUUCGAGCGGGGGAUAACUGCCCGAAAGGGUGGCUAAUACCGCANAUGUCUGCUCUUCGGUGAGCAGACUGAACUUGAGGGGUUCGAAGAUGGGCAUGCGUCCNAUUAGCUAGUUGGCGGGGUAACGGCCCACCAAGGCGACGAUCGGUAGGGGGUCUGAGAGGAUGAUCCCCCACACUGGUACUGAGACACGGACCAGACUCCUACGGGAGGCAGCAGUAAGGAAUAUUGGACAAUGGUCGCAAGACUGAUCCAGCCAUGCCGCGUGCAGGAUGAACGAUCUAUGAUCUGUAAACUGC
RNAcentral lists this ribosomal RNA (383 nucleotides) under uncultured bacterium. RNAcentral's name for it is "bacterial SSU rRNA". It matches the Rfam family "Bacterial small subunit ribosomal RNA", at positions 37 to 433 of the family's 1533-position model. The record is from RNAcentral.